Esox lucius (northern pike) is the source of this 2405-nucleotide long non-coding RNA. The record is from Ensembl. Lineage: Eukaryota; Metazoa; Chordata; Actinopteri; Esociformes; Esocidae.
AUGGUUUAGUUGUGGGGGCUUGUUAGGCAUUUAAAUCAGCUGUGAUGUCUGUGAUUGCUAGGGGGGAAAGACAGUAUGCUUCUGUCUCAGUAAUACCAGGGACGUUGUGUAUGACAGGCUGUUGUGUAUGACAGAACAAAUACAAACAGGUGACUAGAUCUUUCUCACACCCCGGAGAAGGCCAGAACUGAGACCACUGUGUCAGAGAGCGGGCUGGGAUGAGGUGACAUGGGUUCAGUGAGGUUUCGGGUUUGCGGUUUUGGAGUAGAGGGAGUCCUGGUGUUGCUUGGGAGUGCCCUGCUGAGUUUUAUGUCUUAUCUGUCUGUCUAGCUACAUGUUGUCAUUCAGUCUAACAGGCUUUUUACCCCCACACACCCAGUCAGCUGCUAUUGGCACCUCCUGGAACAGUGGGUCAAACCAUCUCAGUGUGCCCCGUGGAUUGUGUCAGCCUGCUCCGAUCCAGCCGACAAAACCUUAAUUCCCUGGGAUCUCAUCCCGUUGUUCUCUCUCUAUCAGAGAAAAACAUGCUUUUUUUCUAUCUGACUUUAUCUCUGUCGCUUUUUUUCAGACAGUCCCUCACUCCAGCCUCAAACACACACAUACAGGCACGCGUGCAAAAACCCGCGCCAACACACACACACACACCGUCAGGCCAGUAGCUGCACGUCCACGCUCUCCCUCUCACCACACCAGCGAUGGGUUUACUGCUGCGAUGAGCCGUAACCAUGAACAUGAGUCCGGUAACUACAGAGGUCAUCCGCAGCAGUCUGCCGCACGGCAUGGUGGGCCUGCCUGCAGGAGGGACGUCUUCACAACCAGCUGGGCGUCUCCUCGGGCAAACCUCAACCCCAGACAUAACUGCUAUGGAGCCAUUCACAUCACACAGUCUCUGGGUUUAGUGUACAGUAGGAGACCCUUAAAAUGGAGACAGACAGAAAGACAGAGAGAGAGAGAGAGAGAGAGACCGGGGGAGACCGAGAGCAGUGGAAUACUUUGUUAGAGCUGCAUCAGUGUGGUGUCCAUCUCUGCACGUGCCGUGAUUGUGUGGAUGAGUGGAUGUGCAGUCAGGUAGCGUAUGAUUGGAUCAGUGGGUGAAACCAUUUGAGCAAUGGAGACAUUCACUUUCUGUCGUCUGUCUCGGUUAGCGAUGUACAGGGACCUGGAGGGAGAAAACCCUGUUAGCAUUCUGAUGCACAAGCUGUAAUGAGGCGUUAACCUUGCCCUUUUGUAUUUACGCUGUUGCAAGAGGAGGUCCUGAGAGAGAGAACGAGCAGGGAGAGAAGCAGGGAGAGAGGCAGGAGAGGAGCAGGAGAGGAGCAGGGAGAGUGGCAGGAGAGGAGCAGGGAGAGUGGCAGGAGAGGAGCAGGGAGAGAGCCAGGUGAGAAUCAGGGAGAGAGCAUUGCCCUUUAUUUAAUCUGGGCCCGUGUUAGUAGCAAGCCUCCAUCAAUGAAAGAAUGCAUACACAGCUGUAGAGCCACUGUGUUUAUAUAUGUGUGUGUGUGUGUGUAUGUGCAGCAUCCAUUCCUAGCGUUUGUGUAAUUUACCUGUAUUAUCAGUACUGAGAAAGCUUUCAAGAGGGGCUCCAAGUGAGUAGGUAUAAGAUGAAUGGAAAUUGUGUGAAGACUACUACUGUCAGUAAAAUCACCAUGCAAUCUCCUUUCCUAUCUCUCUCUUCUUUUCUCUCUCAUCUCCCUCCCCCUCUUCGUCCUCAUUUCACUCCGGUCUCGCCUCCCUCAGCCCCCCCAGCCCCCCCCCCCCCCCUCCUCUCACUGCUGCUUCCCUGUAGCACAGUGAAGACAGGUCAUCUUGACACUAAACCCCCACACAGCUCUCUACUGUAGCUCACUGUCAUCUCAUUACAAGCUGCUUUCUAUAGCAAUGCGUGUGACUCGGAUGACAGCUCUGUAGCAGCAGACAAAGCCUGAAAGCCACAAGUGUGUCAGUGCUGUCUCCAGACCGUCAACUACCAGUGGUGUCCUCCCUCCAUCUGCCUUCUAACAGAGAGAGAGAGAGAGAGAGUGAGAGAGUAGGGUGUCAGCUGUUACCAACCCUAGGAGAGGGCAUACACUCUAUGAGAGCCACAAUACCUGAGGCAUCAGAAAAGACUCCCUGGACCUUGUUCAUACAGGCUCAGUGCCCAACACUCAGCUCACCAGGCAGUCUGAGGAGACAGAACACUGUUUCUAUGCUGCUGCUGCCGCUUCAUCCCAAGGAGAUGUUCAACACUUCCUGUGAGGAGGCCUAACGUGAAACAUCACAGUGCUUCAGAGGUGCUGUGUGAAUAUGACAAUGGCGAUGAUCUGGACAGGGGCUGUGUGAAUCUGGUCCUCAAGUAUUAAUCCGUAUUUAUUGAUGUUCUUAUUAAUUCCAGUCCUGUCAUAUUGUAUGAUAUUCUUUACAAGACA